This 468-nucleotide ribosomal RNA is filed under the name uncultured bacterium. RNAcentral describes it as "partial 16S ribosomal RNA". It matches the Rfam family "Bacterial small subunit ribosomal RNA", at positions 29 to 508 of the family's 1533-position model. The record is from RNAcentral.
ACGAACGCUGGCGGCGUGCUUAACCCAUGCAAGUCGAACGGAAAGGCCCUGCUUUUGUGGGGUGCUCGAGUGGCGAACGGGUGAGUAACACGUGAGUAACCUGCCCUUGACUUUGGGAUAACUUCAGGAAACUGGGGCUAAUACCGGAUAGGAGCUCCUGCUGCAUGGUGGGGGUUGGAAAGUUUCGGCGGUUGGGGAUGGACUCGCGGCUUAUCAGCUUGUUGGUGGGGUAGUGGCUUACCAAGGCUUUGACGGGUAGCCGGCCUGAGAGGGUGACCGGCCACAUUGGGACUGAGAUACGGCCCAGACUCCUACGGGAGGCAGCAGUGGGGAAUAUUGCACAAUGGGCGGAAGCCUGAUGCAGCAACGCCGCGUGCGGGAUGACGGCCUUCGGGUUGUAAACCGCUUUCGCCUGUGACGAAGCGUGAGUGACGGUAAUGGGUAAAGAAGCACCGGCUAACUACGUGC